UAGAACAUGAAACCGUAAGCUGACAAGCAGUGGGAGGGGCAAAGACCCUGACCGCGUGCCUGUUGAAGAAUGAGCCGGCGACUUAUAGGAAGUGGCAGGGUUAAGAUGUUAAAUUCGGAGCCCAAGCGAAAGCGAGUCUGAAUAGGGCGUUAAAGUCACUUCUUAUGGACCCGAACCCGGAUGAUCUAACCAUGACCAGGAUGAAGC
RNAcentral lists this ribosomal RNA (207 nucleotides) under Ditylum brightwellii. Its description in RNAcentral is "partial Bacterial large subunit ribosomal RNA". It matches the Rfam family "Bacterial large subunit ribosomal RNA", at positions 544 to 751 of the family's 2925-position model. The record is from RNAcentral. Lineage: Eukaryota; Bacillariophyta; Thalassiosirophyceae; Lithodesmiales; Lithodesmiaceae.